ACGGGAGGCAGCAGUGGGGAAUAUUGCACAAUGGGGGAAACCCUGAUGCAGCAACGCCGCGUGAGUGAUGAAGGUCUUCGGAUUGUAAAGCUCUGUCUUUAGGGACGAUAAUGACGGUACCUAAGGAGGAAGCCACGGCUAACUACGUGCCAGCAGCCGCGGUAAUACGUAGGUGGCAAGCGUUAUCCGGAUUUACUGGGCGUAAAGGGAGCGUAGGCGGAUAUUUAAGUGGGAUGUGAAAUACCUGAGCUUAACUUGGGUGCUGCAUUCCAAACUGGGUAUCUAGAGUGCAGGAGAGGAGAAUGGAAUUCCUAGUGUAGCGGUGAAAUGCGUAGAGAUUAGGAAGAACACCAGUGGCGAAGGCGAUUCUCUGGACUGUAACUGACGCUGAGGCUCGAAAGCGUGGGGAGCAAACAGGAUUAGAUACCCUGGUA
This 434-nucleotide ribosomal RNA is filed under the name uncultured Clostridium sp. Its description in RNAcentral is "partial 16S ribosomal RNA". It matches the Rfam family "Bacterial small subunit ribosomal RNA", at positions 341 to 792 of the family's 1533-position model. Lineage: Bacteria; Bacillati; Bacillota; Clostridia; Eubacteriales; Clostridiaceae. The record is from RNAcentral.